Molecule: long non-coding RNA, 12153 nt
Organism: Mustela lutreola (European mink)
Lineage: Eukaryota; Metazoa; Chordata; Mammalia; Carnivora; Mustelidae
Exons: 4
Source: RefSeq, a predicted model, not a curated record
GAGCCGCGGUUGCCACAUCUUGAGCUCGGACAUCCGGCUCCAGAGCAUGAGACCCUGUGGCGCUCGUCACAGCAGCCCUAGGAGGCUGGCACGGCUGUCCUCCCCAAGGCCAGUGCACUGCCCCGCCAGGCUUCCCCGCCAGCAGCACUUGGAAACCUUUACUGAGAUGACCGGCACUCAGCGGUCCUUAGCAGGGUUGAGCGGAUUUUCUGGAAUGUCUCAGACAAAGAUUUCAUUACCACCUUCUGGAAAUCGCCUGUUCAGAUGUUUUGUCCAUGUUUCUUGCUACAUAUUUAUCCUUUCUCCAAGGUGCUAGUGUCUUUUCCUCUCUAGGAUUUUAGCCUUCACGGUGUAUAUUUUGUGUUGAGCUUCAAUCAAUCUGAAAACUGAUUUGGAGGCGUGCUGUGACGCAGCUGCUUUAUUUCCCGUUACCGCAUGGCCUGUCGUCAUCUCGCCUGGCCACCAGCACGAAAGUCAAAGGGCGUUCACGUAUUUCCUUUUCUUGGAGGCCACUUCUCUAUCUUCAUCGGCUACCUGGAAAACUAGGUGAUGGGCUAGAAGCAGGAGAGGUCGUGACCUCCUUCCCAGGCUCCCUGUUGCAAGUCCGUUGCUGCAUGAGACAGAAGCCGGCCGUGCCCUUGGCCUGGCGGUCAGGGAGGGGUCAUGCUCCAUCUUCCCUGGGGUGCUCGUAAACGCAUUCAGACUGAGGCCAACCUGGUCCCAGGGAUCGGGAAACGCCGAGCUGACCUCAUUGACCGAUAGGGUCAACCCCAGACGGAAAGGGCUUCACUGCCUCUCGGCCUUGGGCUUGGCUGUGGGUCCACCGUCGGGGGACUUGGGAGGCGCACAGGGGUCAUAGGACCUCUUGGAGCCUCAUUGCCCCACGGGUCAACUGGGGCCAAAACUCGUAACAGCAGUGACAGCUCUGGGCGUUGUGUUCCGUGCUCGGGCGAGCGGGACACGUUAGCCCGGACCUGGAGGACACGUUAGCCCAGACCUGGGGUGUGCGUCGCCCGCCUUCCUUGCUUUGUGCUUUCCAUUUUCCUCACUUUUUCUUUGAUUAGAAAUUAACCAGCGCGUGGUUUAUUCAUCAGUUCAGCUGUUCUCAUGUCUCAGAGCAUUUUCUCUGUUGUCGCUACGGAGUCUUUGCUCCCCUCUGUGUGAUGGUUCACAGCACGCUUUCCCCAACUUUCUGAACAAGAUGGUGAACUCAUUUCCUGUCUUUCUUUUUUACUGACACAAACAGUCCCGUCUGUGAGUGUGCUUUGUUCGGGUCGCACAGACGCUGCCUAGUAUCUCAGGGACGAUGAUUUCCCCGAAAUUCUGUAAUUUUGCUUUAAAUGUCCCUCUGACUUAAAAAUUGAUCAGUAGGGAAUUGUAAAAUUUCUCGGGCUGUAUUUGGUUUUGUGAUUGUGGCACCCUCUAGUUUUGCUACACUAGGGUCAGAAAAUGUUUUCUAUGUUAUUUCUCCUUUUUGAAACGAACGUGGGUGUUUCCUGAUUUAUAACUUGGCCGGUUCCCGUGAAUGGUGUUAGAGCAACGGAAACAGGAGGUACUCGGGUAAAGGUGAUGCGCUCCUUUGCGCCUCUGCACUUCUGGGAAAUGCAUGUGACUGUCAAGAGCAAAUUUUCUAGCGUUUUCUGGGUGUAGUGUUUAUGUGGACUUAGUCAACGUGACCACGAUGACAUGAGCAGUGCGGGGUAUGGGACGGUGUGACAGGAAGGCUUCUCCAGUGCUCUUGAAAGAGCCAAGGGUCCCCUCUCAAUGGACUGCAAGAUGUUAGGUAAGUUUGUCAUAACCCCGGAAAACUGGUGACAGAAUAACUCAAAAAGAUACAGCCAGAAAGCCAAGAGAUUGUCUAAAAUGGGAUGCUAAGAAUAUGUUCAAGGGGAAACGGGGUAACACAACCAGACAGGACAGACUGAACCUCCUGUAAAUCACAGGCGUCUGCUGAUUUUCCUGUAUUCUCUGUCAUUUCUGCUUUUUGAAAAUUUCUUUUAUAAUAUUUAGCAUAUCAAUAUUUAUGACCAUGACAUCUUGAUCAUAAAUCAUAAUGCUCAAGGAUUCAAAGGGCCUUUGUUUUAUCUUACUUAAUGUUUUUUGGUGGAAAAAAUAGCAGUCUUCUAUUAAAACUGGGGACUGACUCUCUUUUUUGGUAUGUCUUUGUUUAUAUUUGAUUUUUUAACCUUUUUAAAUAACGGCCUUGGGUGACUGUCUUGAAGGUAGCCGCAGAACUGGAGUAGCAGCCAGGCUCCAAGAGGGCAUCCAGAGAUUCUCAUCUCUUGGUCUUCUGCCCCUCGGGUGGGCUCCCGGCUCAUUAACCGGAGCUGGUCUGCAUAACCAACAGAAGAUGGUGGUGUGUGACUCCCAACUCUAGGCUAUAAAAGCUCCUGCUGUGGGCUCGGCGUUGCUUGUUCUGAAAAGUGAGAUGCCCUGUCGGCGAGGAGACUCAAGUCGAGCUGUGGAUAGGCUCACGGGGAAAGAGCCCAUCUGGCCGGCCAUGGAAGGAGUCGUCUUGGUUGUGGAGUCUCCUGGCCCAGCUGAACCUUCGGAUGAGCCCACGCCCCCAGCCGGCACCCUGAGCAGACCGGCAUCCACCAGUCCCCCCCCCCCCCAACACCUGAGCCACCAGAACCGUGAGACACAAUACGUAGUGACUGUUGUUUUCAGCCGCUAAAUUUGGGGGUGACUGGUAGAUGUUUAAUGCAAUAAUCCAAUUUGAGAACCUUGUUUAUUUUAUUUUAGUAGUUAAUUUCUUUUACAUUCACUGUAUGACAAAUGUGUUUAUGCUAAUUACUUUGUGCUGUGACAUCUGGACGUAUCUGUCCAUGCAUGUAGAUAUAGAGUACGUGACUAUGUCUGUGUCUACCUCUCUCUCUCUCUCUCUCUCUCAAUUCCUGAUACAUGUAUGUAUAUAUUACGUGUGUGCGCGUGUUUGUGUGGAUGGAUAUGGAGCAGUUUUCUCAGGCACACAUGUAUUCAAACAGUCUUCUUCUGUGGGGUCUGUUCCUGCACACGUCUUGAAUGUUAACUAUUUUGAGAUUUAAGGUUGUGCUUGUGCUCCAGUCGUGUCCUUUAUAACCGAGCCUCCUUACAGGGCUGUGCGUCCCUCUGUCCUCAGACAGGGUCCAUGGGUUCCUUCGUGAGAGCGACGAUGACGCGGCUUCUCUCCCCUCCCCCUCCCGCUGCUCUUUCUUUCCUUCCUGCUCCUCCGGCUUUAAUCAAAAGCUACUCUUCUCAGUACCGACUACAUCUGAGUUGUUAUGGCUGCUUCUGUGCCCAAAUGUCAUCGCUCGUCUCCUCGCGGUUCUGAUGAAAAAUCAGAGUCAUUUUAGUCACAUUAGUGGACGUGCCUCCCCUUGACAGUGGCUCCUCGGGCGCCUCAUUGUUGAGGCAGAAGGCGUUCGCGUCCUGUCCUCUCGCUCACAGCCCCUCCAGCUCCCGGCUCGUUCGCUCCAACACGCUUGUUGCUGACCCUUUGUCCCGGAUUUCCUAGUUAUCUCGGGUUGAUCACAGCUCAUCCCCUAGCGCAUUCCCUAAGAAAGAGUCACAUGGAAGAUGCUCCCUGCAGCCCCUCACUUUCAAGGGAUCCGUUUCCUUUAUCCAUGAACGGGGCGCUCUGGGUGGAGAACCCUCCGUCCCGCGACUCUGCUGGUGAAGCGAUGAGGUCUGGUUCCUUCCUCUGUCUGGUCCGGAUGCCUAAGGGCUCCUCCCCCACAUCUGACCUCCGCGGGGCUCGCAGUCCUGGGGGCACUCCCUCAGCUGUCCCGCAGGGGUCUCCUGGGGCCGGGCAUUUCGAGAAGAAUGUGGGAUUUGGAAUAAACCACCCGGUUUCCAAACCCAGCUCUUUGAAACCCUGAAAGUCAUGUGGCCUCUCUGAGCCCCAUCGAUGACGUGGGUCCAGUGACAUCCCUGCCCCCACCCCCCGCCCCGCACAGAUUAGAGGCUCUGUCGGAGGAGGUACCACGAGCGAAAAUGAGCUACAAAGGGCCGGGCCGGAGCCAGAAGGUUCUGCUGCGUGGGCUCGGCCCCGGCUGUGACUCUCAGCCUCCUUCCCACCACCUGGAGUUUCCCGAGCGAGGAGGAGGCAGGAGUCUGCCCUGCGAGCCUCAUGCCGCAGGCUGGCUGCUCUGUCCCAAACAUGCCACGUCCCGGUCGUCCCUCUUAGGGGCCACCUUGCUGGCCAUCGCCAGAUUUUAGGGUCUUUCCAGGAUUUGUUCAGCUUGAGGAUGUCGCCAGCUUUGCUCCCCGUCUGCGUCCAGAUCAUCGACGCGACUCCGGCCGCUCCCAGGCCCGGCAGCUCCGGCCGCAGAAGCUUCCUCCGCUGACCUCCGCUCCUGGCUCCCACUCGGGUCGCAAUGAGCCCGCCCUUCCCGGUCACUCCCGUCACUGAGUCACAGGAAGUGUGUGGCCCGGGGUGACCGUGUCAGUGAGCAGGACGACAGGGUCUGCUCCCGCGGGGCGUGUGGAGAAGCGUGUCCGGAGCGGGUGAGGCGCCGCCGCCCGCUUCCUCAGCCUCGACCCCACAGACACUUGGGGCCACACGUGCACUCGCACAUUCGCUGGCUCCCGGGUGCCACCCUCCGCCAUGACAGCCCUACCUGUGUCCUGACGGGGCCACACGUCCCACAGGGACACGGUCACCCUGGUUUGGCCCCGAACGAUGCCGGCUCUGAGCACCGGGCUCUGCUGUGGAGCAGCCGCGGGGGGACACGGGUGCUGUCCCGUGCCACACCUCUGGGGAUCCUGAACAUUACUACGACGCCCCGAGUGUCCACACUUCCCACCAGGCCUUGAGGACGUGUCAAACAUCUUGCGAAGUUCAAGUCGCCGCCUCUGCAGCCCGGCCUGGCCUCGCCGGUGCGGACCCGUCGGAGAAGUGAGGGCCGCGGGCUGAGGGGAGACACUGGCUGUGAACUCGGCCCCACAUGCCAGGGCUGUCCUCGGCCCGGAAUGGGGCUGAAUAGACUCGGAAGCCAAGUUUUCCCCAGAAAACAUGGAGACGGCCCUGCCGAGCAUCUGGGGGUGCGCGGCUGCGGUCCAGCCUCCUUCCAGACCCGCGGCAGCCCGCUGGACUUGCAGCACGCGCUCUGGGGGCAGGCGGACGCUCAGCUCGGUGGCCUGGGGUGAGCCCCCCAAGUGCGGUCCAACCCCAGAGAGCAUGGUCAUAGGGGGAUCUUGGUCCGACCCCAGAGAGCGUGGCCGCGGGGACACCUUCCUCCUUAGACGAGUGAGUCAGAGGAGGCACAUGAAAAAGAUGUCCUGUGGCUGUCAGGUCCCACCUCAUGACGUGUGGCACACCCAAACUGGUUUUCCCAUGACCGGAUUCUUUACGAGCCAAGGUUGGCACGGAUGGCGUGGUUGACGUGGUUGACAUGGGGUCACGGGGAGCUCUGCGUUCUGCAGCGGAGCAGCCAAGCCCCCUGGGCCACGCGGGAGGCAGGAGCCCGGGGAGUGAGCAGGGGUGAGGCGAUGCGCUCCCGCUGCUCUGGCUCCCCGUGGGCCGCUGGGGCUCCAGACAUCACCCUUACGAGUCUGUUCUUGUUCAGCUGGAGGCUCUCCUGUGGGCUCGGCUCAGCACAGCCUCUUCUUCCGUGCCCUUCUCCAGAAAUUAAUAAAAUUUAUAUAUUAAAAGGAAAGAUUCCCCCCAAGCAUGUGAUCGUUAAGUGCUUGUUACUCUGUCCUCUGGGCUUACAGCUUGUUCCUUGCACCGUGUGUUUGAGGGUCCUGGACACUUAGAACAGGGCCCACGGUCGGGGGUUGAGAACGGGGUCUGUUUCCCCGUAGGGCAGCGAUCACUUGCCAGUUCCUCAGAAGACACUCGAACGUGCCUUCCUGGCCUCACGACGGAGCACUCUGCCCUCCGCUGCUCCUGGAACCAGCUUUGCCCUCUUCCUGGGUCACAGGCUAAUCCAUUCAACAAACGUGUGAUGUGUUCACUCCAGAUCCGCCAGUCUUCCUCUUGACUUGCGAGGUCUGUAGGCGCCGAUAGGUGGCCUCGGGCGUUCGGUGAAUCCACAGAGAAAGCUGAUCCCUGAGAUGGGCUCGAAGUUCUCCUCUGGGAAAUUCGGACUCGGAGUCCCCGGGGAAGGGUUACCUGCUGGACAGGAACGUGCUGAGGAGGAAGGAGGAAAACCGGGUCAUUUUCAUCCAGAGAGAUGACGCCCGUGAGGAGAGGCGGGUCACCUCCCCAGGACCACACAGCGCGUCAGAGAGAGGACCCGACGCGUGUCCUCAAAUUCAAGAGGAAUAAAUCGCUGGUGGGCGAGAAGAGUCUGCUGGAGACAGGAGAAGAGGGAAGUGGUUCUUCCAACAGCGUCGGGAGUCAGGAGCACGGGCGGGACCCGCCGAGGAGCACCGCAUGCUGUGGGCUCAGCAGUCUCGCCAUAGACGCGUGCACACACGAGCCACACGUGUCUGUGUGCAACACAUGUGCGUGUGUGUCUGUAUCUGUCAGAUACAUGCGAGUGCAUACGUGUGUAUGUGUAGACGUGGUGCAUUCAUAUAAACGUAUGCAUCUGUGUCUGCUGGGUACAUGCAUGUGCAUAUGCACACACAUGUAUCAGGCACACACGCAUAUAUGUUUGCACAUAUAUGUGUUUGCACACGUGUGUUGGGUACAUGUACUUGUGCACACAUGCGUGUGUACAUAUUUGUGUACGUGUGUGUUGGGUACAUGCAUGUGUGUAAAUGUGUGUGCACGUGUGUGUGUGUGUGUGUGCCUAUACACACAGCCCACACAAGGCUCCCUCCUGUAGCCAUAGGACCAGAUGGCUUCUGACGCCACGGACCUGCAUCCAGGUUCGCCUGUCACCCCAAAUUUCAAAUCCCUGCUGGGGAUCAGGCCUCUGCUGCUGUCUGCAGCCCACCCCUCAGCUCCGGAAACCCAGAGGGCCUUUCGCGCCUGGCACUGACCCACACAGGCCCAACGCGUUGCUGCUCAGUAAAUGCCGCUUGAACGGACGAAGGACCCAACCUGUAGCAAGACGCCCCAGGAGCAGCUUUGGUGAGUGGCGUCUUCCUUGACUAGCAGGACUCUGACCCCGACUGGUGCCCUGAGCCCACCCCACCGGUUUCCCCCUGCAGCACCCAGGGCCGCCCGACCCCCAGGCGCUCCCCAUGCAGCCUGGCCACGCCCUCCCUGUGUCCACGGGGAGGAGGAAGGCAGAGCCCGGGGUCCCGCAGAAAUGCAGUUUGAGCUCAUACGUCAUUUAAAUGAGCCGGAGUACCCAGGAACGGGGACGUCCACGCGACGUUGUCUUCUUUCAUCCGACGUCAGCAAACAUCAUCUCAGUGUCUACUCCGUAUAGUAACAACUAGUUUACAUUUUUUGGUACAAAGUCUUCAAAAUUGGGUGUCUGUUUUACAGUGAACAGCGCAUCUCGGCUGAGAUGCCAAAUUUUCAACCAUUAAAGGGAAAUACAGUUGCACCAGAACAACGAAGUUAUUUCAGAGCAGAAAUAGCUUACACCCGCCCCCCUCUUUCCAGCUGGAUUGAUUCGAAUGAAGGACAGGGGCAGCCUUGCCGGCCAGGGUCCCCGCCUGGACCUGCAAACCCGGAGCCUGAACCGCUUGUGGGCUGCCACCCGGUGGCCAUGCCUGGUAGUGCAGGGACCUGCUGGGAUCUGGGGCCUUGCAGAAGCCGGGGUCUGAUGCGGGCCUGACAUUCCAGGAACAUUCCUGGGGGAUGAGGAGGGAUGCAUAGAGUGGGAAGGUGGGGUGUCGCGUGUGUCCCCCCAGCUCCGGAUCUCGGGAGCACGGCUCUGAAUCUCGGGAUCACGGUGGGGCUCGUGGUCUAGCCAGGUUGUCCCGUAUCCUCAGGCACCUGCUUGUAGAAAUCGGCCUGCGAGGCCCCGAGAAGAGCUGGUGGCCAUCUCAGCCGGCACCCGGGGCUUCCCCCACAGGAGUGCCCUUCUCAUGCCAGAUCAGGGUGCCAUCGAGGCUGGUCCCCGUGGGGCCUCUCUUCCUGGCCGGCGGGUGACCCAUCCGGCCGUGUGCUCACGGGCGUUCAGAAAGCCAGCCCUGGUGUUUCUCCUGCUUCCUAUAAGGACCCGGUUGAUGGGAUUAGGUGCCCUCCCCCCAUCAGGCCCUCAUUUAACCUUGACCACCUCCUUAAAGGCCCCAAAUGCAGCUACACUGGGGGAUUACGGCUUAAAUGAGGUUUUAUUUUUUAUUUUUAUGUUUUUUAAAGAUUUUAUUUAUUCAUUUGAUAGACAGAGAUCACAAGUAGGCAGAGAGAGAGGAGGAAGCAGGCUCCCUGCUGAGCAGAGAGCCCGAUGUGGGGCUCGAUCCCAGGACCCUGAGAUCAUGACCUGAGCCGAAGGCAGAGGCUUAAACCACUGAGCCACUCAGGCGCCCCAUUAAAUGAGGUUUUAGAGAUACAGUUCCGUCCAUGCGAGCGGUCACUACCCCAUGCUGCGGCUAAGUGACGGAGUUAUGGCUUCUCUAGAUCACUCAGGGCCAGGAAGAGGGCCCGGCUGAGCUCCGAGGUCGGGUGGGGGCGGUCCUCAGCCUGUCUCCUCUAGACCCCACCCGCAACACCCUCAAGAGCCUCCACCUGCCUUUCUGACCCUUGUGAACUGCUCCCUGGAGAUCAAACCCAUCCCCCAGGGUCUUUACCUUGUGGGGGGCUCUCUGGGCGGUGGCUGGACAAGCAGGUGAGGAAUUCCUGGGGACGUCUGUGCUGUGGCCCCGUCUCAGGCCACAGCGCUGCAGUGUCUGGACAGCAGAGCCCAUGUGGGGCCUCCUGGGGAGUCCCUGGUUCCUUGGGAAACGGUUCCCGUCCAGUCGGACCUAUGGCCUCGUGCCCAGAAGCGCGGUCAUGUCGGCGCCGGCCGCGUGCUGUCUCUCCAGAGACUCGAGAGCCAAGCCCACCAGACAGAUCAGUGAGACCAGAAGCUUAUGAAUGUGUUGCUCAAAACCAGGGACACGACAGACCCCCGACAGCCCGCCCUAAGACAGGUGCAGCUCUUCGUCCCGAAGUCGCUGAGGGCGGCUGGAGUCUGAACUCGAAAACGACGCCAACGGACGGUCUAGUGGCGUCAGAAAACACUGUACGUGACGGGUUUUCCGUGAGGAAGUAAACGAAUGCCCCGUGGGACACUGCCGUUCGUGGUGCCCAGCUCCGCAAAUGUCCAUCCUGGAUGGACACCAGGGCUCCGCACGGACCCUCCUUAAGUAAAUCCAGUCCUCUCAAGGCUUCGGAACGAGGUGGGGGCACUGGGACGCCUGGCAGAGAAGGACCCUGUGCUCCGAGGGGCGAGAGAGAUCCACGGAAAGAGGGACAGGUUUUCCCCUUCCCGUGAGGCGGUCAGUCCUCUCUGCAAGACGACGCGUGCCGUCUGUGCGGGACCCCCGAGCUCUCGCCGCUGGGAGCCGCGAUUUCUGGCGAGGACACGGUGUCUGCUGGCGACCGGGCGGUGGCUCCGUAAAUGAGCUGGUCCCAUGGCCACAGCUGGAAUUCAUAACUACCUUCUGCUCUCCGUUCUGUGAUUCCUUUGCCCUUCGACAGCACCUGGGCUGGUCUUGGUCGUCACAGCACCCCACUGGCUCUAACUGCAGGCCACGGGGUACUAAGUGUCCCCAGAACUCCAGGUAGAUAUGGAGUCAUAAGGUAUAAAAAGAGGGAUAGACGAGCCAGCUGGAAAGCAGCAGUGGGUGUCCCUAUAUCACUAUGGGAUGGAAUAAGAGGAAAUCAGUUCUGAGAACCUGGUGGUAACAGAAGCCCAUCAAGGACAUGAAGAGGCAGUAUGAAUAAGCAAGCUUUUUUUUUUCCUUUUUGCCAGUAAGAAUGGGUAUCUGAACAAAUGUUUGAUUAUUAUGAACACAAUUAUUAUUGCAACAUACAAGGUGAAAAGAGUCCUGUUCCUCCUGGGUGGAACCUUCCUCUGGCACGUUUUACCUUACCAACCCCAACUUCUCCAAGCCUCUCGUCUGAGCACUACAGAAAUGCAGAAGAAGCAUGACACCGAGUCAAGCAAGACAGAAGAGAGGAUCAGUGAGCACCAAGGAAGAAAACCGAGGAGAGAGUACAGAGGAGGGAGGAAAGGAAAAUCUUGACGUGGCCCACCCUCAAAUCCUGGCAAAGCCUCUCAUUUUUAUUUGAAUUUUUGGAUCUUCAUUCAGCAUCACGAAGACUGGAAUUAAUACUUUUAUAUCUGAGGGGCACGUGGGUAGCUCAGUCGUUGAGCGUCUGCCUUCAGCUCAGGUCAUGAUCCUGGAGUCUGGGAUUCAGCCCUGCAUUGAGCUCCCUGCUCCACGGGGCUCCUGCUUCUCCCUCUCUGAAUCCCCCUGCCUUUCUUCCCUCUCUCGCUGUGUCUCUCUCUGUCAAAUAAAUAAACAAAUCUUAAAAAAUAAUACUUUUAUAUCUGAAAGUAUCUGAUUCAGGAUAUAAGCAACCGUUCCUAGCAUGGGUUCUGAGGAGGGACUGUCUGGAAGAACACUUCGGGGCAAACGGGCAACAUCAAUGGAUUGAGCUUCAAGAGCGCUGAUCUCUGAUGAACCUUCCUGUAAGUACCACCGCUAAAGAAGGUGUAAACAAAGCUUCUUUCUCUGAUUCUAAUGAGCACGUAGAUAAAUGGAAUGAAAUACAUAAGUCACAAAGCUUGGAUAUAAAAAUCCAGUGUUUAUGAUGUUAUGAUGAAACAUCAUGUCCUCCAAUAUGUUGAAAAUUUUCUAUAGCAAUGGAACGUGGAACUCAACACCAUUUUUUAUACUUUUGUGAUUGUUCUCAGAGCUCCUACAGAUAGGCAAAUAGAUUAAGUAAAUUCUCUCAUUUAGAACAUGGUAGAAUUAUCCAAGAUUCUACUAAGUCAGUUGAUCAUUGAGCUGCUUGCCUGGGUAGAGUUCUUCGAGGUUGCUCUCUGCUUGUCAUGAGUUUGCUUUCUUUUCUCUCUAUGGGUAUGGAGCAAUAUGGCAACAAGAUGAGUACAGAUACCCCCAAUACCUACCCCAGUGAGUUUUCUUAGGAAAUAGCAGAAAGUCAGUGCCACACCGUUGAAGUACACCAGCUAUUUCCAUCCUUCGAUUUUCCUUCUGAUUCGUCCUGAAGCCUCCAUACUCCCAGCUGGUAAGAUACUUCCUGAGGGCUCUGUCUUUGAAGGAGUAGUUUGUGCUUAGUGGAAGAUGACCUGAUUUUUUUUUUUUUUUAAGAGUGAGACACAAAAAGAGAGGGAGAGAGAGAAUGAGCAGAGGGGAGGGGCAGAGGGAGAGAGAGAGAGAAGCAGACUAGUACAGAAUACAGAGCCCAAUGAGGGGCUCGAUCUCACAACCCUGAGAUCAUGACCUGAGCUGAAACCAAGAGUUGGACACUUAACCGACUGAGCCACCUAGGUGCCUCAGAAGAUGAACCGGUUUGUUUGUUUAUUUAAGAUUGUGUUUAUUUAUUUGACAGAGAGAGAGAGAGAGAGAGAGAGAGAGAAGCAAGAGAGGGAACACAAGCAGGGGGAGCAGGAGAGGGAGAAGCAGGCUUCCUGCCAAGCAGGGAGCCUGAGGCGGGGCUCGAUUCCGGGACCCUGGGAUGACCUAUGACCUGAGCUGAAGGCAGACACUUAAUAACUGAGCCACUCAGGUGCCCCAUGAUGAACGGAUUGAGACUGAGUUAAGUGUUCUUUUUAAAUCCUACUCAGGAAACAGAGGACAGUAACAGAACUUUGAUGUAAUUAGGUUUUUAUUUUUUAUUUUAUUUUAAAAGAUUUUUUUAUUUAUUUGACAGAGAAAUCACAAGUACACAGAGAGGCAGGCAGAGAGAGAGGGGGAAGCAGGCUCCCUGCUGAGCAGAGAGCCCGAUGCGGGGCUUGAUCCCAGGACCCUGAGAUCAUGACCUGAGCCGAAGGCAGAGGCUUAACUCACUGAGCCACCCCGGUGCCCCAAUGUAAUUGGGUUUUUAAUUUGGGCUUUUAAUUUCUUAGAAAAUGUGUCUUUAGAAUUGACUAGGAAUAGAAUGUCCAUAAACAAAGAGUGAUGCUUUUUUAGAUUCAUAGUCCCUAGAUUUGUUCUAAGCUUAAGGUCCAAAAUAUUUGCUCAUGUUAGGAAAUGGCCACGUACCUAAUCUUGCAACCAUUUUCUCUUUGUGAACAUGUUGUUCAUAAAAACAAUUAUCCCAUGUUGAAAUGUCUGGCUUCCUUUUGGUAAUAAAAAUGGAUUUUAUCACUA